Molecule: non-coding RNA, 209 nt
Filed under: Dialister sp.
Lineage: Bacteria; Bacillati; Bacillota; Negativicutes; Veillonellales; Veillonellaceae
Description: T-box sequence
Rfam family: T-box leader
About the family: Uncharged tRNA acts as the effector for transcription antitermination of genes in the T-box leader family.
Source: RNAcentral
AUAAAGACAUUGACGGGAAAUAGUAAACAUCCCCGCCGCUCACAGGGAGCCGUUGUAUAGUGGAAAACGGCAGCGGCCGAUCGUUGAACUCGUCCCCGAGUCGCAGGCUGAAAAUAGUAGGCCGUGCCGGUCAUCCGCCGUUACAGGUUUUGAGUGCAUGACCCUUGGGUCAUGAAUGAGAGUGGUACCGCGAAUCCUUCGUCUCUUUG